Molecule: ribosomal RNA, 483 nt
Filed under: uncultured bacterium
Lineage: Bacteria
Description: bacterial SSU rRNA
Rfam family: Bacterial small subunit ribosomal RNA
Source: RNAcentral
GAUGAACGCUGGCGGCGUGCUUAACACAUGCAAGUCGAACGAGCUUUAUCACUACGAUCCCUUCGGGGUGACGGUUUUAAAGCGAGUGGCGGACGGGUGAGUAACGCGUGGAUAACCUGCCAUACACUGGGGGAUAACAGCUGGAAACAGCUGCUAAUACCGCAUAAAACUGUAGAGUCGCAUGACUUUAUAGCCAAGGCUCCGGCGGUGUAUGAUGGAUCCGCGUCUGAUUAGGCAGUUGGCGGGGUAACGGCCCACCAAACCGACGAUCAGUAGCCGACCUGAGAGGGUGACCGGCCACAUUGGGACUGAGACACGGCCCAGACUCCUACGGGAGGCAGCAGUGGGGAAUAUUGCACAAUGGAGGAAACUCUGAUGCAGCGACGCCGCGUGAGCGAUGAAGUAUUUCGGUAUGUAAAGCUCUAUCAGCAGGGAAGAUAAUGACGGUACCUGACUAAGAAGCUCCGGCUAAAUACGUGCCAG